UACAGAGGUCCCAAGCGUUGUUCGGAUUUACUGGGCGUAAAGGGUGCGUAGGCGGUCGGGUAAGUCUGGUGUGAAAUCUCGCAGCUCAACUGCGAAACUGCAUCGGAUACUAUUCGGCUCGAGAGUUGGAGGGGAGACUGGAAUACUUGGUGUAGCAGUGAAAUGCGUAGAUAUCAAGUGGAACACCAGUGGCGAAGGCGAGUCUCUGGACAACUUCUGACGCUGAGGCACGAAAGCUAGGGGAG
Molecule: ribosomal RNA, 245 nt
Filed under: uncultured bacterium
Lineage: Bacteria
Description: partial 16S ribosomal RNA
Rfam family: Bacterial small subunit ribosomal RNA
Source: RNAcentral